UACGUAGGGUGCGAGCGUUAAUCGGAAUUACUGGGCGUAAAGGGUGCGCAGGCGGUUUUGUAAGUCAGAUGUGAAAUCCCCGGGCUUAACCUGGGAAUUGCGUUUGAAACUACAAAUCUAGAGUGUGGCAGAGGGAGGUGGAAUUCCAUGUGUAGCAGUGAAAUGCGUAGAGAUAUGGAAGAACAUCGAUGGCGAAGGCAGCCUCCUGGGUUAACACUGACGCUCAUGCACGAAAGCGUGGGGAGCAAAC
Molecule: ribosomal RNA, 250 nt
Filed under: uncultured bacterium
Lineage: Bacteria
Description: partial 16S ribosomal RNA
Rfam family: Bacterial small subunit ribosomal RNA
Source: RNAcentral